GAGUUUUCAUUGCUGAAGAGUAAUUUUCAUUUGAAAAUACCAUAUUUACAUCAUAUUAUUAUCAAUCUUUGUAUUAAUACUGUAGUGUAAAAGAGUUGAAAAACAAAAAGAUGUUCAUCAAAUAAAUCAAUAGAUAUAGGAAGAUGUGGUGUGAGUGCCAAUGAGACAACUCUCCAUCCAAGUCACAAUUUAUAAAAGUAAACCAUUAUAGGUCAAGGUACAGUCUUCAACAUGGAGCCUAGGCUCACACCAAACUGCAAGCUAUAAAGGGCCCC
This 275-nucleotide long non-coding RNA is filed under the name Mytilus galloprovincialis (Mediterranean mussel). Lineage: Eukaryota; Metazoa; Mollusca; Bivalvia; Mytilida; Mytilidae. The record is from RNAcentral.